Molecule: ribosomal RNA, 926 nt
Filed under: uncultured bacterium
Lineage: Bacteria
Description: bacterial SSU rRNA
Rfam family: Bacterial small subunit ribosomal RNA
Source: RNAcentral
CCUUAGAGUUUGAUCCUGGCUCAGGAUGAACGCUAGCUACAGGCUUAACACAUGCAAGUCGAGGGGAAACGAUAGAGAAAGCUUGCUUUUUCUAGGCGUCGACCGGCGCACGGGUGAGUAACGCGUAUCCAACCUGCCCACCACUUGGGGAUAACCUUGCGAAAGUAAGACUAAUACCCAAUGAUAUCUCUAGAAGACAUCUGAAGGAGAUUAAAGAUUUAUCGGUGAUGGAUGGGGAUGCGUCUGAUUAGCUUGUUGGCGGGGUAACGGCCCACCAAGGCGACGAUCAGUAGGGGUUCUGAGAGGAAGGUCCCCCACAUUGGAACUGAGACACGGUCCAAACUCCUACGGGAGGCAGCAGUGAGGAAUAUUGGUCAAUGGGCGAGAGCCUGAACCAGCCAAGUAGCGUGCAGGAUGACGGCCCUAUGGGUUGUAAACUGCUUUUAUAAGGGAAUAAAGUGAGCCUCGUGAGGCUUUUUGCAUGUACCUUAUGAAUAAGGACCGGCUAAUUCCGUGCCAGCAGCCGCGGUAAUACGGAAGGUCCGGGCGUUAUCCGGAUUUAUUGGGUUUAAAGGGAGCGUAGGCCGGAGAUUAAGCGUGUUGUGAAAUGUAGACGCUCAACGUCUGCACUGCAGCGCGAACUGGUUUCCUUGAGUACGCACAAAGUGGGCGGAAUUCGUGGUGUAGCGGUGAAAUGCUUAGAUAUCACGAAGAACUCCGAUUGCGAAGGCAGCUCACUGGAGCGCAACUGACGCUGAAGCUCGAAAGUGCGGGUAUCGAACAGGAUUAGAUACCCUGGUAGUCCGCACGGUAAACGAUGGAUGCCCGCUGUUGGUCUGAAUAGGUCAGCGGCCAAGCGAAAGCAUUAAGCAUCCCACCUGGGGAGUACGCCGGCAACGGUGAAACUCAAAGGAAUUGACGGAAGG